CGGUAUUAAUUACUAGGGGAGGCUAGGGAUAGCAAGCCAGUAGUUAAUAUUAGGCCCUUUUCGCCGAGGGAUUGGGUUGAGGGGAGGCUAAGAAAGUCGCAUAACAAUUGAAUCAAUCAACUAAUAUUCAAGGGUAAUAUGUAAGAGAGAGUGGAAUAGAUGAAAUUGUUAGUACUCAACAACAUCCAUUCAUCCAUUGUUUUGUGUUUAACCUCAAUUGAUCAAAUUGCAUUCAUGUUUAUUUUUCUG
RNAcentral lists this long non-coding RNA (249 nucleotides) under Vigna radiata. Its description in RNAcentral is "long non-coding RNA (VRAD_LNC017572)". Lineage: Eukaryota; Viridiplantae; Streptophyta; Magnoliopsida; Fabales; Fabaceae. The record is from RNAcentral.